RNAcentral lists this ribosomal RNA (501 nucleotides) under uncultured bacterium. RNAcentral's name for it is "partial 16S ribosomal RNA". It matches the Rfam family "Bacterial small subunit ribosomal RNA", at positions 29 to 523 of the family's 1533-position model. The record is from RNAcentral.
AUUGAACGCUGGCGGCAUGCCUUACACAUGCAAGUCGAACGGCAGCACGGGUGCUUGCACCUGGUGGCGAGUGGCGAACGGGUGAGUAAUACAUCGGAACGUACCUUAUCGUGGGGGAUAACGCAGCGAAAGCUGUGCUAAUACCGCAUACGCCCUGAGGGGGAAAGCGGGGGAUCGCAAGACCUCGCGCGAUUAGAGCGGCCGAUGCCUGAUUAGCUUGGUGGUGGGGUAAAAGCCCACCAAGGCGACGAUCAGGAGCUGGUCUGCGAGGACGAUCAGCCACACUGGGACUGAGACACGGCCCAGACUCCUACGGGAGGCAGCAGUGGGGAAUUCUGGACAAUGGGGGCAACCCUGAUCCAGCAAUGCCGCGUGAGUGAAGAAGGCCUUCGGGUUGUAAAGCUCUUUUGUCAGGGAAGAAACACCGGCUCUAACACAGUCCGGGAAUGACGGUACCUGAAGAAUAAGCACCGGCUAACUACGUGCCAGCAGCCGCAGUAA